This 440-nucleotide ribosomal RNA is filed under the name uncultured bacterium. RNAcentral's name for it is "bacterial SSU rRNA". It matches the Rfam family "Bacterial small subunit ribosomal RNA", at positions 338 to 795 of the family's 1533-position model. The record is from RNAcentral.
CCUACGGGAUGCAGCAGUGGGGAAUAUUGCACAAUGGGGGAAACCCUGAUGCAGCAACGCCGCGUGAGUGAUGACGGCCUUCGGGUUGUAAAGCUCUGUCUUCAGGGACGAUAAUGACGGUACCUGAGGAGGAAGCCACGGCUAACUACGUGCCAGCAGCCGCGGUAAUACGUAGGUGGCGAGCGUUGUCCGGAUUUACUGGGCGUAAAGGGAGCGUAGGCGGAUUUUUAAGUGAGAUGUGAAAUACUCGGGCUUAACCUGAGUGCUGCAUUUCAAACUGGAAGUCUAGAGUGCAGGAGAGGAGAAGGGAAUUCCUAGUGUAGCGGUGAAAUGCGUAGAGAUUAGGAAGAACACCAGUGGCGAAGGCGCUUCUCUGGACUGUAACUGACGCUGAGGCUCGAAAGCGUGGGGAGCAAACAGGAUUAGAUACCCUCGUAGUC